RNAcentral lists this ribosomal RNA (429 nucleotides) under Chloroflexota bacterium. RNAcentral's name for it is "Chloroflexi bacterium partial 16S ribosomal RNA". It matches the Rfam family "Bacterial small subunit ribosomal RNA", at positions 355 to 776 of the family's 1533-position model. Lineage: Bacteria; Bacillati; Chloroflexota. The record is from RNAcentral.
UGGGGAAUAUUGCACAAUGGGCGCAAGCCUGAUGCAGCCAUGCCGCGUGUAUGAAGAAGGCCUUCGGGUUGUAAAGUACUUUCAGCGGGGAGGAAGGGAGUAAAGUUAAUACCUUUGCCCAUUGACGUUACCCGCAGAAGAAGCACCGGCUAACUCCGUGCCAGCAGCCGCGGUAAUACGGAGGGUGCAAGCGUUAAUCGGAAUUACUGGGCGUAAAGCGCACGCAGGCGGUUUGUUAAGUCAGAUGUGAAAUCCCCGGGCUCAACCUGGGAAAUGCAUCUGAUACUGGGAAGCUUGAGUCUCGUAGAGGGGGGUGGAAUUCCAGGUGUAGCGGUGAAAUGCGUAGAGAUCUGGAGGAAUACCGGUGGCGAAGGCGGCCCCCUGGACGAAGACUGACGCUCAGGUGCGAAAGCGUGGGGAGCAAACAGG